UACAGAGGGGGCAAGCGUUAUUCGGAAUUAUUGGGCGUAAAGGGCGCGUAGGCGGCAUGGCAAGUGGAUGGUGAAAUCCCUCGGCUUAACCGAGGAGCUGCCGUCCAAACUGCUUCGCUUGAGACCGGGAGAGGUGAGUGGAAUUCCCAGUGUAGCGGUGAAAUGCGUAGAUAUUGGGAGGAACACCAGUGGCGAAGGCGGCUCACUGGACCGGUACUGACGCUGAAGCGCGAAAGCGUGGGGAGCAAACGGG
RNAcentral lists this ribosomal RNA (253 nucleotides) under uncultured bacterium. RNAcentral describes it as "partial 16S ribosomal RNA". It matches the Rfam family "Bacterial small subunit ribosomal RNA", at positions 524 to 776 of the family's 1533-position model. The record is from RNAcentral.